UACGUAGGGGGCUAGCGUUGUCCGGAAUUAUUGGGCGUAAAGCGCGCGCAGGCGGUCCUUUAAGUCUGAUGUGAAAGCCCACGGCUCAACCGUGGAGGGUCAUUGGAAACUGGGGGACUUGAGUACAGAAGAGGAAAGCGGAAUUCCACGUGUAGCGGUGAAAUGCGUAGAGAUGUGGAGGAACACCAGUGGCGAAGGCGGCUUUCUGGUCUGUAACUGACGCUGAGGCGCGAAAGCGUGGGGAGCAAACAGG
RNAcentral lists this ribosomal RNA (253 nucleotides) under uncultured bacterium. RNAcentral describes it as "partial 16S ribosomal RNA". It matches the Rfam family "Bacterial small subunit ribosomal RNA", at positions 524 to 776 of the family's 1533-position model. The record is from RNAcentral.